UAGGGCGGGACACGUGGUAUCCUGUCUGAAUAUGGGGGGACCAUCCUCCAAGGCUAAAUACUCCUGACUGACCGAUAGUGAACCAGUACCGUGAGGGAAAGGCGAAAAGAACCCCGGCGAGGGGAGUGAAAAAGAACCUGAAACCGUGUACGUACAAGCAGUGGGAGCACCUUCGGGUGUGACUGCGUACCUUUUGUAUAAUGGGUCAGCGACUUAUAUUCUGUAGCAAGGUUAACCGUAUAGGGGAGCCGCAGGGAAACCGAGUCUUAACUGGGCGUUAAGUUGCAGGGUAUAGACCCGAAACCCGGUGAUCUAGCCAUGGGCAGGUUGAAGGUUGGGUAACACUAACUGGAGGACCGAACCGACUAAUGUUGAAAAAUUAGCGGAUGACUUGUGGCUGGGGGUGAAAGGCCAAUCAAACCGGGAGAUAGCUGGUUCUCCCCGAAAGCU
Molecule: ribosomal RNA, 450 nt
Filed under: Klebsiella pneumoniae
Lineage: Bacteria; Pseudomonadati; Pseudomonadota; Gammaproteobacteria; Enterobacterales; Enterobacteriaceae
Description: partial 23S ribosomal RNA
Rfam family: Bacterial large subunit ribosomal RNA
Source: RNAcentral